UACGUAGGUGGCAAGCGUUAUCCGGAAUUAUUGGGCGUAAAGCGCGCGUAGGCGGUUUUUUAAGUCUGAUGUGAAAGCCCCCGGCUCAACCGUGGAGGGUCAUUGGAAACUGGAAAGCUUGAGUGCAGAAGAGGAAAGUGGAAUUCCAUGUGUAGCGGUGAAAUGCGUAGAGAUAUGGAGGAACACCGGUGGCGAAGGCGGCUUUCUGGUCUGUAACCGACGCUGAGGUGCGAAAGCGUGGGGAGCAAACAGG
This 253-nucleotide ribosomal RNA is filed under the name uncultured bacterium. Its description in RNAcentral is "partial 16S ribosomal RNA". It matches the Rfam family "Bacterial small subunit ribosomal RNA", at positions 524 to 776 of the family's 1533-position model. The record is from RNAcentral.